Molecule: transfer RNA, 75 nt
Filed under: Acidimicrobiia bacterium
Lineage: Bacteria; Bacillati; Actinomycetota; Acidimicrobiia
Description: tRNA-Arg
Rfam family: tRNA
About the family: Transfer RNA (tRNA) molecules are approximately 80 nucleotides in length. Their secondary structure includes four short double-helical elements and three loops (D, anti-codon, and T loops).
Source: RNAcentral
GCCCUCGUAGCUCAGGGGAUAGAGCAUCGCCCUCCGGAGGCGUGUGCGUAGGUUCGAAUCCUACCGAGGGCGCCA